UAUUAUUAUUUUGGCAGAUUAGUGUAAUGAAUUUAGAAUUCAUAUAUGUAAUUUAUUUUACAAAUAAUA
RNAcentral lists this transfer RNA (69 nucleotides) under Ilybius subaeneus. Its description in RNAcentral is "transfer RNA-Leu". Lineage: Eukaryota; Metazoa; Arthropoda; Insecta; Coleoptera; Dytiscidae. The record is from RNAcentral.